Molecule: long non-coding RNA, 982 nt
Organism: Diorhabda sublineata
Lineage: Eukaryota; Metazoa; Arthropoda; Insecta; Coleoptera; Chrysomelidae
Exons: 2
Source: RefSeq, a predicted model, not a curated record
UUAAAUGGUAACAACCUAAAUAUGCCUAAAAAUUUUGAAUAAAUUGGCCUUUAGAGAUAUCUGGGAGUGAUAGUGACUAAACGAAGAAGGUGAAAUAAGGAAAAUCGAUAAAAUACCGGCGAGAGGGAACAAACUUUUGGUUAGGUUAGGUUAGUAUAAUAUGGUACAAGCAAGGCUUACAUAUUUCGCAAUCCCCUCUAUCGAAACCAGUUGCUCUGAAAAAAUUAAUUCCACAGAGAUUGCUUUCCAAUAAGCCAAAAAAGUUAGUGUAUAGUUAUAGGGUUUUGGGAGAUGUGGUUUGGCUAAACAAAUGUUGUAUCGCAUGGUGUGGACGUAAUGGAAUGACAUAUAGCCCCACUACUUCCUGAAUGUAGCGUGGAGCUGCCAUAUUACCUCUAAUUAAAACUAGUCGUGAUCUGCAACUAUGUUCAAUAGUACAGUUUUGGGCAUAUGAGAAUGUAGAAUCCGCUUCGUCUUUUUACCCUCAACCAACCAUCCCAUAGAAACAUGUUCACCGUUAUCCAUCGUUACUGAACAGUUGCGCUCGUUCUCUUUCAAAUCCAUUGUGAUGAAACAUGAUUCCAAUAUGACACAUUAUCCAAAGAGACUCAAGAAAUUUAAAUGAAUGAUAAACAACUGGCUUUUGGAAAUAAAAAGGUAUGUUACUUUUGGCGUUUAUUCAGAUUUGUUUUGUGAAAAAGCGAUGUUUACACAGAGCUAACCAAAAUUUGUGAAACAACGUCUCCUUCGGCACAUUUUGAUGGGAUAUUUUUGAAUACCAACCAUAUCAUUCCAAUCUAGUACAGAAUAAUCCAUCUUGUCCUUGAGCUUGAGUGGCUGGGGGGCAGCGCUUUUAAACUGACAUGGAGCUGAAUGAAACUGUUAUCACUCCCUUGUAUUCAUUGGAAAACUUGUUCACAGAUUAUGUGGAGAAAUAAUUAUUAUUAUAUAUUACAUUCGGUAAUAAAAUCUUUUUUGUAUA